This is a long non-coding RNA of Bombyx mori (domestic silkworm), 779 nucleotides long. RefSeq lists it as uncharacterized. The record is from RefSeq and is a predicted model, not a curated record. The transcript is spliced from 2 exons. NCBI's taxonomy places the organism in Eukaryota, Metazoa, Arthropoda, Insecta, Lepidoptera, Bombycidae.
GGCGGGAACACGAGCUAUGAAUUAAUGUGAACUGUUUUAAUAUUUUGGUUAAUUUUGUGACUAAGCGUGGAAUAUAUUACUUUAUUAAUCGUUUAACGUUUAAAGUGUGGGCAAAAAGAAACAAAAUAACUGGAUGCGGCUUUUCGGGCUCAUUCAAACAACCCACUGAAGACACUAAAUUUCAACAAUUACUGGGACAUUUAUUCAGUUUCACCCCAAUGGAUUAUGGUUUUUAAUACACGAACUUCACUACAUUUCAGUUUUCAUAUAACACAGUCCAAGUAAUUUUAUACUAAUCGAUGACUAUCUAAACUCCAUUGCUACCAGCAACGAUGGCAUCGAGCCGGUUGCCAAACUGUAAAUAGAAGACUAAGAUAUCACACUGUGUGGCGCUGUCCAUCUUGAAACGCCAAGACGGCCGGUGCAUUCGUAUCGAGCGAUGCGACUCUGCGGGGUGAAAGAAUAACAUUAUGUCAACAAAAUCAAACCUGCAAAAUUAUGAUGUUCGUAAUUACUGGUUCUGGGGCAUCUUGUGAGCUCGCACGCGCAGGGACCACCGCCCUGCCUAUUUCUUCCGUGAAGCUGGUGUACUUAGUCAAAAUGAACAAUUUACUUUACUACUGGUAUAUACUCGCGACUUCACUCGGAUUAGUGUAGAAUGUAGAGGAUGUAAAUAGUUCAGCUAAGAUUUUUUUUAAUAAAAUCGAUUGCGUAAUUAGAUGUAAAAGCUUACAAAAACAAACUGAGUUUCAUAUUAAAAUAUGUCACAAUAAAUAAAA